Molecule: ribosomal RNA, 497 nt
Filed under: uncultured bacterium
Lineage: Bacteria
Description: partial 16S ribosomal RNA
Rfam family: Bacterial small subunit ribosomal RNA
Source: RNAcentral
GAUGAACGCUGGCGGCAUGCCUAAUACAUGCAAGUCGAGCGGACAGACGAGGCGGUUUCUCCUCUUGCUGUAGCGGCGGGGGGGGGAGUGACAUGUCUGGGACCUACCUAUAAGGCGGGGGUUACUUACGGAAACCGGGACUAAAACCCGCAAAACUAUUGAACCGCAUGGUUCAGUAGCUAAAGACGGUUUUGCUUUCGCUUAUACCUGGUUCCAGACGGGAGUAGCUGGUAGGUGGGGUAACGUCUUACCUAGGCGACGAUGCCUAGCUGGCCUGAGAGGAUGACCAGCCACACUGGAACUGAGACACGGUCCAGACGCCUACGGGAGGCAGCAGUGGGGAAUAUUGCACAAUGGGCGCAAGCCUGAUGCAGCCAUGCCGCGUGUAUGAAGAAGGCCUUCGGGUUGUAAAGUACUUUCAGCGGGGAGGAAGGGAGUAAAGUUAAUACCUUUGCUCAUUGACGUUACCCGCAGAAGAAGCACCGGCUAACUCCGUG